CCUACGGGCGGCAGCAGUGGGGAAUAUUGGACAAUGGGGGCAACCCUGAUCCAGCCAUGCCGCGUGUGUGAAGAAGGCCCUCGGGUUGUAAAGCACUUUCAGUGAGGAAGAACGCCUGGUGGUUAAUACCCAUCAGGAAAGACAUCACUCACAGAAGAAGCACCGGCUAACUCCGUGCCAGCAGCCGCGGUAAUACGGAGGGUGCGAGCGUUAAUCGGAAUUACUGGGCGUAAAGCGCGCGUAGGUGGCUUGAUAAGCCGGUUGUGAAAGCCCCGGGCUCAACCUGGGAACGGCAUCCGGAACUGUCAAGCUGGAGUGCAGGAGAGGAAGGUAGAAUUCCCGGUGUAGCGGUGAAAUGCGUAGAGAUCGGGAGGAAUACCAGUGGCGAAGGCGGCCUUCUGGACUGACACUGACACUGAGGUGCGAAAGCGUGGGUAGCAAACAGGAUUAGAUACCCGGGUAGUC
Molecule: ribosomal RNA, 465 nt
Filed under: Vreelandella stevensii
Lineage: Bacteria; Pseudomonadati; Pseudomonadota; Gammaproteobacteria; Oceanospirillales; Halomonadaceae
Description: partial 16S ribosomal RNA
Rfam family: Bacterial small subunit ribosomal RNA
Source: RNAcentral